This is a long non-coding RNA of Triticum aestivum (bread wheat), 2477 nucleotides long. RefSeq lists it as uncharacterized. The transcript has 4 exons. NCBI's taxonomy places the organism in Eukaryota, Viridiplantae, Streptophyta, Magnoliopsida, Poales, Poaceae. The record is from RefSeq and is a predicted model, not a curated record.
CAACCUAACCCGCCUCCUACCGCUGGAGGCAGGCGUCGCGGGCGAGCGAGCGGCAGCCGGAGCCGGAGCCGGAGCGAGGAAGCCCGCGGCGCCGUGACGGGUCUAAGGGCCCGAUGGUGAUUCGUUGACUGGAAAAAAACUCCCCCUCAAACCAGAUCGCCUCCACCCCCACCCCCACCUCCUACCUCCGGCGUCGGCCACGACGGUGCCUCCCACCUGCGGCAGCGCGCCUCGCCCCCCGACUCCCACCUCCAGCGUCGGCCACGCCCCUCGCCUCCCACCCGCAGCGGCGCGCCUCUCCCCCGACUCCCACCUCCGGGGUCGGGCACGCCCCCCGCCAUCCACCCGUGGCGGCGCGCCACGUCCCCCGCCUCCACCUCCGGCCGCGCCACGCCCUCGGCUCCACCUCCCGCGACGCGCCAUGGCUCCUCCUCCGACCUCCCACGAAGCGCUGGAGGAGCGGCCGUCGGCGGAGGGCGGAGCGUCGGCAACAACCACCUCUGCCCCGUCCCCCUCCUCCUCAUACAUCUGUCGCCCCGCCCCCACCUCCUCCCCCGCCCCCGGCGCCGCCAAGCCCCGCCCCCAACCUCCCCACCCCCACCUCCUCAUGUUCGCCGGCGCGCCUCCACCUCUCGGUCGCCGGUGCGUCUCCACCUCUCGGCCGCCGACGCGCCUCUACCUUGUCCCGGCCGUCCAGGUAAUGCGCGCGCAUCAGUUCGCACAAGACUAGGUCGCCGGGCACCAUUCGCCAUCCGGCGCGACGCCAUGGGUAAAGCCAAGAUGGAGCUACCGGUUCUAGCACCGACACCUGCGACGUCAGUCCAUCGAUGUGCUCGGCGCCGUCCACAACUCCAUCGCGCUCGAGCAUACGCUCUAGAUCAUCUUCCACCAUGCUCCGGCCACGGCUCCCCACUGCCAACACAAGAUCCCAACCACUUCUGAAAAAACUGUUGUUAUCUGGUUAGGAGUUCACAUUUGCUAAAUUCCGUAGUUCUUUGGUUCACCAUUGCUAAAUUUUGUAGCUAUCUGGUUAGUAGUUCACCUUUUAUAAAAUAUGUAGUUCUCUAGUUAGAUAAACAGUGGUUAUCUUUGCAGAAACAAUGGUAGUCUACAAUUUCUGUUAUUGGUAGUAGCAGUUCAAUAUAUAUUAGAAGAAGAAAAAAGGAAACAGUGUUGUCUUGCAUGACCACAUGAGGUGUCACCACAAAAGCAGCAGACGAUGUUUGAGGCUGUUUUGUAGGCUGCCACUGUUCUACCUGUCCGAUAACAGUGGCGGCGAGACGAACACCGUGCGCGCACCUGUGUGACAUGAAGCGGAGGCAUCACUAUGGCCACGUACAGAGUGUUGGGACUGCAACAAUUCCCACGGUCCAAAGCGUAGAGGAUGUGCUUGUGAGCUGUGAUGUUCUGAACUUGUGAUAUAUCUGCGGCGGUGAGAAGCAGACCCGUUCAUGUUCCUCCAUCUCCCAAGCUAAGUUUUCUGUUGUUUUUGAUGUUAUUCCUAAAAGAAAAUCGUUUAUACAUGGCCAAUGUGAAUGUGCAGUAUGGUGUAGUGCAAAAGAACAGUCACGUGUGUGGUUAAUUAGCUGAGCAUGCAGGGCCUGUUUGAGCUUUAUGUGGAGAACUAGUUGGAUACUACGGUUUUUGGAAAAUCAAGUUGUUCUUUCUUUACAUGAUUUACAAACUCGCAUUGCAUUCUCCUGUUGCUUUACUCUUCCAUCUCAUAUAUAUAUGAUUGAGUUAUCUAAAAGAGCUUCUGUUCCUGCUAUCUACAGAGAUACAUUGUUUUAACUGAAAAAUGAUGUCUCUGGCGGCCACCACUCCUUGGAAAUUUUCUUCCAUCUGCUUGUACGCAGACCAUGGUGCUUGACUUUGUUCUUAUCUUUUUAUUUUUUGCAGCCAGUCAGUGCUUCUUCUUGAUCUCCCGACCACCAGCGCCGCUUCUUCAAAAUGAUGUCUUACACUUGAUCUCUGAACUUCAGCCACCGACCUCCUCUGGUUGGGCCACACCACCACCGGCCCGUCCACAACAGUUGCUGGCAGCCAUCCAAGUUGAGCGCUGAUGGUAGUCCUCUGCGUGCGUCAACGACACUCUCACAAGAAGCUCAAUCAUAUUCAGGGAUGAAAAAGGAGAGAAGCACAGGAAGAGCUUUAUUUCAGGUGGCAGCUUCGUCCUCUUUUAAACUGAAGUUUUCAUUCAGGUAGUACAUCCACAGCAGCUAGUACAGAAUGCAGAGCAGUGGAUGCAACUACCUAGUAGAAUACUACAGGGAAGCAGGGACGUUCGAUGCUACUGGAUUGUGGAUAGAGGAGUUAAAUUAAGCCCCUGACAUCGUUUCUACAAAUCAGGGGAGCCAGAUCCCUGCUUCAGUAUAUGACUUGUACAAGAAAACAUACACUAAAUGUAGCAGUUCACUAUGUGUUUAUAUCAUCAGUUCGUUAACAAAUCAAAGAAAAAGUUUUUGUGCUUGUGACUA